GUCCACGCCCUAAACGAUGGAUACUCGACAUUAGCGAUACACAGUUAGUGUCUGAGCGAAAGCAUUAAGUAUCCCACCUGGGAAGUACGAUCGCAAGAUUGAAACUCAAAGGAAUUGACGGGGGUCGCACAAGCGGUGGAGCAUGUGGUUUAAUUCGAUGAUACGCGAGGAACCUUACCUGGGCUAGAAUGCUGGUGGACCGUGGGUGAAAGCUCACUUUGUAGCAAUACACCGCCAGUAAGGUGCUGCAUGGCUGUCGU
This 260-nucleotide ribosomal RNA is filed under the name uncultured bacterium. Its description in RNAcentral is "partial 16S ribosomal RNA". It matches the Rfam family "Bacterial small subunit ribosomal RNA", at positions 793 to 1055 of the family's 1533-position model. The record is from RNAcentral.